Long non-coding RNA from Suricata suricatta (meerkat), 688 nucleotides. RefSeq lists it as uncharacterized. The transcript is spliced from 2 exons. Lineage: Eukaryota; Metazoa; Chordata; Mammalia; Carnivora; Herpestidae. The record is from RefSeq and is a predicted model, not a curated record.
GGAAACCAUGCUGGUGCUGUGAAUACAGAAGGACAACUUCUAGCAGGAUCAGCUCUGGCUCCUGAGACAAUGCAGUGCCUGAGGAAAGUGCUCAAAGAUUGAUGGGGACAUUUCAGAAGGAUGCAGUAGCCAGCUCCAAGAGGCUCCUGCUGGCCCAGGGGAGGACAAUUUGAGUGUCAAAAUAAAAAAACGACAGAGAUGGAUGACAACCUAUGGAACAACACGGGAGUCCGUGAUGCCACACCCAUGUGCAUAAAUAGACAAGUGAACUGACAGUGCACGAAGAACAGGUUUCCAAGGACCUCCCCACAAACCAGGGAAUGACUGCGAUGGAAAAAAUGACUUUACAGUGGAGGGAGCUUGGCAGACACCACCUCCUCCGUCAAAUGGCAAAAACAAUCAUUCACAUAAUGGUUCCAAGUGAAAUCAGGAGCAGCCUGGUAGGUCUAAAUGAACACAACGCAGCCACUUCUGUGAUGUGCCUGCCAGAGACUCAGACAGAGCCUGAGUCCAAUCGAGAGGAAACCUUAGACAAACCCAAAGUGAGGACAUUCCACAAAACAACUGACGUGUAAGUUGACGAGCAAGGUCACGCAGGUCAAGGCUGAAAAGCAAGUUCACAUUGAGCCAACUGCAAUGUGUGAUCCUCGGUUGGAUCCUUUGCUAUAAAGAACAUUAUUGGAAUGAA